This 1098-nucleotide ribosomal RNA is filed under the name Triticum aestivum (bread wheat). RNAcentral describes it as "partial small subunit ribosomal RNA". The record is from RNAcentral. Lineage: Eukaryota; Viridiplantae; Streptophyta; Magnoliopsida; Poales; Poaceae.
AUAGACGCGGAAAGAAUUCGGAAAAUCCCAUUGUCUGAACACUUGUCGGAAGACUUUGUAGCAUGGCAUGCCACAAAGUCGUUUUGCUUUUCAGUGAGAUCUGCGUACUAUAUUGAAUGGGAGCAUCAAUUUGGAGCAAGAUUAGGCCGAGAGCAACCACAAACAUCUAGAGAUAAUCCGGUUUGGGAUGUCCCGUGGAAGCUACAUGUACCGAGUAAAGUCAAAAAUUUUGUUUGGCGAGCACUACAUGGAGUGGUUCCAGGGAAGUGCAUAUUGCAUAAUCGACAUAUUAAGGUCAGUCCCGAGUGCCCUUUGUGUCGAGAGGGUCCUGAAGAUAUCCGGCAUUUAUUAUUCACUUGCGCACGAGCUCGCAAAGUCUGGAAGUCAUUGGGUCUCAUUGAAGUUGUGGAUACAGCCCUAAAAAGUGAUCAAUCGGGAUCUGUGGUGAUGGAGGAAAUCUUGCGACUCCCGCAAAGAAAAUCACCGGUACUUGGACACUUGGGUUUACAGGAAACGGUUGCCGUAGCUGCGUGGUAUAUUUGGUGGGAACGUCGGGAAGCCGUGAAGGGCGAGUCGACUAAGCAGGCCGCUAGUUCAGCCUUUUCUAUUCAAGCGAUCACAGUUAACCAUGCUCCGAAGCAGAAUAAUCUGAUCCUAGAAAAGACAUGGAAAAAACCACAACCGGGGUCAUACAAGUUGAAUAUUGAUGCGUGUUUCUUCGAUGAUGGUGCAGGUGCAGUAGCGGCAAUCUUGCGCAACUGUCGUGGAGAAGCGAUCGCAGGAGCUUCUGAAACGUUUGAUCAUGCAUACAAUGCACAGGCUGCUGAAACACUAGCAUUACGGAGAAGGCUCCAAAUGAUAUCUGAUAUGGGAUGUUCAACAGUUGAAGUGGAAUCCGAUUGUUUGGAACUGAUGGAUGCAUGCAACGGAAAGAUAGAUAUUCGAGGACCUAAUUCCUCAUUACUUGCAGAUUGCUUUCACUUGGCUCAUAUGGUAUUACAUCAAUCUCUUUCAAUCACUGUCCCAGGGAAGCAAACAGGUUGGCACACUUUCUGGCUAGGACUUGUUUCGAGUCUAAGACUAGUUGUGUUUGCUUAG